This 72-nucleotide transfer RNA is filed under the name Ciona intestinalis (vase tunicate). It matches the Rfam family "tRNA". From Rfam's summary of the family: Transfer RNA (tRNA) molecules are approximately 80 nucleotides in length. Their secondary structure includes four short double-helical elements and three loops (D, anti-codon, and T loops). Lineage: Eukaryota; Metazoa; Chordata; Ascidiacea; Phlebobranchia; Cionidae. The record is from Rfam by way of RNAcentral.
AGCGCUGUGGCAAAGUGGUUAGUGCGUCUGCCUCGUACCCAGAGGUAAUGGGUUCAGGCCUCGUCGCUGCUA